Daucus carota subsp. sativus is the source of this 819-nucleotide long non-coding RNA. RefSeq lists it as uncharacterized. Lineage: Eukaryota; Viridiplantae; Streptophyta; Magnoliopsida; Apiales; Apiaceae. The transcript is spliced from 4 exons. The record is from RefSeq and is a predicted model, not a curated record.
CCCCCGCUGCUCACUAAACCUGACUCUAAACUCUACUUCGACAUUUCGCGCGACUACAUACUCCCUUGUCUCUCCGCAUCCUGACCCUCGCUGAAAAUCUCCAUCGCUGGUUUCAAUUGUUAAUUCGUUGCUGGGUUUUCUCAGGUUGUUAUUUGGGUUUUCUUGCUGGGCUGAUUUCACCCAUUCUUCAUCGCUAAAUCCACUGUAUCGUCACCAACAACCCGCUAUAUCGUCAGCAAUUUAGGGGUUUCUCUCACCUUCACCAGCAACUGUGAUUCUCUCGAUUCCGCUGGGUUUUCUUGCUGGGUUGCUUUCAAUUUAGGGGUUUCUCUCUCGGCUGCUUUCAAUUCAGGGGUUUAUCUCUCGGCUGCUUUCAAUUUAGGGGUUUUCUCGUUGGGCUGCUACUGUGAUUGCUACUAGUGGUGGGUUCAAGGUUUAAGAGCUUUGUUAUUCCAAGUAGGAGGUACAGAAUGUGGAUUUUUUGUCAUGAGGUACAUGUAUGACAUAGUCAUGCUUUCUCAGAAAAAUUCUAACACGAACUGGGAAGUGGUUCUUGGUUCUAGGAGUUAUGGCAAAAAGGAAAUCAAUGAGAUUCGAGAGAUUUGGGCUCGGUUUUUUACUCUUGAAUGUCUCUAGUCGGAUGGCGAUUAAUGCAAAAACGGGAGUGCAGAAAAAGGAGCUUCAAGAAAAGCGGAGUUAGUUGAGAGAUUUUUAUGCUCUAAGAUGUUUAAUGUAACUGACUUAAUUUGUAGAGAGAUUGUAAUUAAUAUUGUACUCUUUCUAAUGUAAACAAUCUUUUUAAUAUAUUAUAAUAUAAUU